UGCACGCUGGCGGCGUGCCUAAUACAUGCAAGUCGAGCGACCGGACGAGAAGCUUGCUUCUCUGAUGUUAGCGGCGGACGGGUGAGUAACACGUGGAUAACCUACCUAUAAGACUGGGAUAACUUCGGGAAACCGGAGCUAAUACCGGAUAAUAUUUUGAACCGCAUGGUUCAAAAGUGAAAGACGGUCUUGCUGUCACUUAUAGAUGGAUCCGCGCUGCAUUAGCUAGUUGGUAAGGUAACGGCUUACCAAGGCAACGAUGCAUAGCCGACCUGAGAGGGUGAUCGGCCACACUGGAACUGAGACACGGUCCAGACUCCUACGGGAGGCAGCAGUAGGGAAUCUUCCGCAAUGGGCGAAAGCCUGACGGAGCAACGCCGCGUGAGUGAUGAAGGUCUUCGGAUCGUAAAACUCUGUUAUUAGGGAAGAACAUAUGUGUAAGUAACUGUGCACAUCUUGACGGUACCUAAUCAGAAAGCCACGGCUAACUACGUG
RNAcentral lists this ribosomal RNA (495 nucleotides) under uncultured bacterium. Its description in RNAcentral is "partial 16S ribosomal RNA". It matches the Rfam family "Bacterial small subunit ribosomal RNA", at positions 30 to 507 of the family's 1533-position model. The record is from RNAcentral.